UACGUAGGGGGCUAGCGUUGUCCGGAAUCAUUGGGCGUAAAGGGUGCGUAGGCGGGUCUUUAAGUCAGGGGUGAAAUCCUGGAGCUCAACUCCAGAACUGCCUUUGAUACUGAAGAUCUUGAGUUCGGGAGAGGUGAGUGGAACUGCGAGUGUAGAGGUGAAAUUCGUAGAUAUUCGCAAGAACACCAGUGGCGAAGGCGGCUCACUGGCCCGAUACUGACGCUGAGGCACGAAAGCGUGGGGAUCAAACAGG
RNAcentral lists this ribosomal RNA (253 nucleotides) under uncultured bacterium. Its description in RNAcentral is "partial 16S ribosomal RNA". It matches the Rfam family "Bacterial small subunit ribosomal RNA", at positions 524 to 776 of the family's 1533-position model. The record is from RNAcentral.